Non-coding RNA from Paramuricea clavata, 432 nucleotides. The record is from the annotation of a GenBank genome assembly. NCBI's taxonomy places the organism in Eukaryota, Metazoa, Cnidaria, Anthozoa, Malacalcyonacea, Plexauridae.
CAGCUUUUGCUGGACGUGGGAUGAUUAUUUUGAUAAUUCAGGCCGAAAAGGGAUGUAUAAGCAUAGGCAGACAUAGCACAGCAUGCAGAGUGGACCAGUGGCGUAACUACUAUGGGCUCAGACCGGGAUAACCCGGGGGGCCCCAACCCCAAUGGGGGCCCCCAGGCUUAGGCGAUAGAGCAAAAACAUUGGCCAUGGCCUCUGAUAUGUUACAAUGUCGUUUUGUGACCAUCAGAAUUCCGAAAAAUCUCUCCCCAAAGUCCAGGAAAUGGUAUUUCAGAGAGUCUAGAUUCAAUGAUGAGCAUGCCCUGGACCCCCUUGAAAACUUGUGCAUAUACGGCGCUCGACUCAUGCCUUUGGCACUUCUACUAGGGGGGGGGGGCUUCGAAAAUUUUGAACCGGGGGCCCCCUGAUAUAACGUUACGCCACUGG